AAUUUUGGACAAUGGGGGAAACACUGAUCCAGCCAUCCCGCGUGUAGGAUGAAGGCCUCCGGCUUGUAAAGUACUUUUGUCAGAGAUGAAAAGGUAUCUCCUAAUACGAGAUACUGCUGACGGUAUCUGCAGAAUAAGCACUGCCUACUACGUCCCAGCAGCCGCGGUAAUACGUAUGGUGCAAGCGUUAAACGGAAUUAAUGGGCGUAAGGCGUGUGUAGGCCGUUCGGAACGGAAGAUGUGAAAUCCCAGGGCUCAACCUUAGAACUGCAUUUUUAACUGACGAGCUAGAGUAUGUCAGAGGGGGGUAGAAUUCCACGUGUAGCAGUGAAAUGCGUAGAUAUGUGGAGGAAUACCGAUGGCGAAGGCAGCCCCCUGGGAUAAUACUGACGCUCAGACACGAAAGCGUGGGGAGCAAACA
This 421-nucleotide ribosomal RNA is filed under the name uncultured bacterium. RNAcentral's name for it is "partial 16S ribosomal RNA". It matches the Rfam family "Bacterial small subunit ribosomal RNA", at positions 360 to 774 of the family's 1533-position model. The record is from RNAcentral.